GGGUUNCUUCAUAGCCUCUNANGGGCCUNACGGGUNACGGGGUGUUAGGGCACGACACCGGAGAGGGAGCCUGAGAAACGGCUACCACAUCCAAGGAAGGCAGCAGGCGCGCAAAUUACCCAAUCCCGACACGGGGAGGUAGUGACAAUAAAUAACAAUACAGGGUUCUUUUGGAUCUUGUAAUUGGAAUGAGUACAAUUUAAAUCUCUUAACGAGGAACAAUUGGAGGGCAAGUCUGGUGCCAGCAGCCGCGGUAAUUCCAGCUCCAAUAGCGUAUAUUAAAGUUGUUGCAGUUAAAAAGCUCGUAGUUGAAUUUCGGGAUCAAUAUUUCGGUCAUGCCGUUGGUAUGCACUGUUAUCAUUGAUUUCUCACCUUCUAAAGAACCGUAAUGCCAUUAAUUUGGUGUUACGGGGAAUUAGGACUGUUACCUUGAAAAAAUUAGAGUGUUUAAAGCAGGCUCACGCUUGAAUACAUUAGCAUGGAAUAAUGAAAUAGGACAUCCGAUUCUAUUUUGUUGGUUUCUAGGAUCGAUGUAAUGAUUAAUAGGGAUAGUUGGGGGCAUUAGUAUUCAAUUGUCAGAGGUGAAAUUCUUGGAUUUAUUGAAGACUAACUACUGCGAAAGCAUUUGCCAAGGAUGUUUUCAUUAAUCAAGAACGAAAGUUAGGGGAUCGAAGACGAUCAGAUACCGUCGUAGUCUUAACCAUAAACUAUGCCGACUAGGGAUCGGAUGAUGUUAAUUUUUUAAUAGNCAUUNNNAAGGCNUAAANUUAUUUC
This 774-nucleotide ribosomal RNA is filed under the name Glomus sp. 0626-2. RNAcentral describes it as "SSU rRNA". It matches the Rfam family "Eukaryotic small subunit ribosomal RNA", at positions 327 to 1082 of the family's 1831-position model. Lineage: Eukaryota; Fungi; Glomeromycota; Glomeromycetes; Glomerales; Glomeraceae. The record is from RNAcentral.